GGUUAAGCGACUAAGCGUACACGGUGGAUGCCCUGGCAGUCAGAGGCGAUGAAGGACGUGCUAAUCUGCGAUAAGCGUCGGUAAGGUGAUAUGAACCGUUAUAACCGGCGAUUUCCGAAUGGGGAAACCCAGUGUGUUUCGACACACUAUCAUUAACUGAAUCCAUAGGUUAAUGAGGCGAACCGGGGAACUGAAACAUCUAAGUACCCCGAGGAAAAGAAAUCAACCGAGAUUCCCCCAGUAGCGGCGAGCGAACGGGGAGGAGCCCAGAGCCUGAAUCAGUGUGUGUGUUAGUGGAAGCGUCUGGAAAGGCGCGCGAUACAGGGUGACAGCCCCGUACACAAAAAUGCACAUAUUGUGAGCUCGAUGAGUAGGGCGGGACACGUGGUAUCCUGUCUGAAUAUGGGGGACCAUCCUCCAAGGCUAAAUACUCCUGACUGACCGAUAGUGAACCAGUACCGUGAGGGAAAGGCGAAAAGAACCCCGGCGAGGGGAGUGAAAAAGAACCUGAAACCGUGUACGUACAAGCAGUGGGAGCCUCUUUAUGGGGUGACUGCGUACCUUUUGUAUAAUGGGUCAGCGACUUAUAUUCUGUAGCAAGGUUAACCGAAUAGGGGAGCCGAAGGGAAACCGAGUCUUAACUGGGCGUUAAGUUGCAGGGUAUAGACCCGAAACCCGGUGAUCUAGCCAUGGGCAGGUUGAAGGUUGGGUAACACUAACUGGAGGACCGAACCGACUAAUGUUGAAAAAUUAGCGGAUGACUUGUGGCUGGGGGUGAAAGGCCAAUCAAACCGGGAGAUAGCUGGUUCUCCCCGAAAGCUAUUUAGGUAGCGCCUCGUGAAUUCAUCUCCGGGGGUAGAGCACUGUUUCGGCAAGGGGGUCAUCCCGACUUACCAACCCGAUGCAAACUGCGAAUACCGGAGAAUGUUAUCACGGGAGACACACGGCGGGUGCUAACGUCCGUCGUGAAGAGGGAAACAACCCAGACCGCCAGCUAAGGUCCCAAAGUCAUGGUUAAGUGGGAAACGAUGUGGGAAGGCCCAGACAGCCAGGAUGUUGGCUUAGAAGCAGCCAUCAUUUAAAGAAAGCGUAAUAGCUCACUGGUCGAGUCGGCCUGCGCGGAAGAUGUAACGGGGCUAAACCAUGCACCGAAGCUGCGGCAGCGACGCUGAUGCGUUGUUGGGUAGGGGAGCGUUCUGUAAGCCUGUGAAGGUGUACUGUGAGGUAUGCUGGAGGUAUCAGAAGUGCGAAUGCUGACAUAAGUAACGAUAAAGCGGGUGAAAAGCCCGCUCGCCGGAAGACCAAGGGUUCCUGUCCAACGUUAAUCGGGGCAGGGUGAGUCGACCCCUAAGGCGAGGCCGAAAGGCGUAGUCGAUGGGAAACAGGUUAAUAUUCCUGUACUUGGUGUUACUGCGAAGGGGGACGGAGAAGGCUAUGUUGGCCGGGCGACGGUUGUCCCGGUUUAAGCGUGUAGGCUGGUUUUCCAGGCAAAUCCGGAAAAUCAAGGCUGAGGCGUGAUGACGAGGCACUACGGUGCUGAAGCAACAAAUGCCCUGCUUCCAGGAAAAGCCUCUAAGCAUCAGGUAACAUCAAAUCGUACCCCAAACCGACACAGGUGGUCAGGUAGAGAAUACCAAGGCGCUUGAGAGAACUCGGGUGAAGGAACUAGGCAAAAUGGUGCCGUAACUUCGGGAGAAGGCACGCUGAUAUGUAGGUGAAGCGACUUGCUCGUGGAGCUGAAAUCAGUCGAAGAUACCAGCUGGCUGCAACUGUUUAUUAAAAACACAGCACUGUGCAAACACGAAAGUGGACGUAUACGGUGUGACGCCUGCCCGGUGCCGGAAGGUUAAUUGAUGGGGUUAGCGCAAGCGAAGCUCUUGAUCGAAGCCCCGGUAAACGGCGGCCGUAACUAUAACGGUCCUAAGGUAGCGAAAUUCCUUGUCGGGUAAGUUCCGACCUGCACGAAUGGCGUAAUGAUGGCCAGGCUGUCUCCACCCGAGACUCAGUGAAAUUGAACUCGCUGUGAAGAUGCAGUGUACCCGCGGCAAGACGGAAAGACCCCGUGAACCUUUACUAUAGCUUGACACUGAACAUUGAGCCUUGAUGUGUAGGAUAGGUGGGAGGCUUUGAAGUGUGGACGCCAGUCUGCAUGGAGCCGACCUUGAAAUACCACCCUUUAAUGUUUGAUGUUCUAACGUGGACCCGUAAUCCGGGUUGCGGACAGUGUCUGGUGGGUAGUUUGACUGGGGCGGUCUCCUCCUAAAGAGUAACGGAGGAGCACGAAGGUUGGCUAAUCCUGGUCGGACAUCAGGAGGUUAGUGCAAUGGCAUAAGCCAGCUUGACUGCGAGCGUGACGGCGCGAGCAGGUGCGAAAGCAGGUCAUAGUGAUCCGGUGGUUCUGAAUGGAAGGGCCAUCGCUCAACGGAUAAAAGGUACUCCGGGGAUAACAGGCUGAUACCGCCCAAGAGUUCAUAUCGACGGCGGUGUUUGGCACCUCGAUGUCGGCUCAUCACAUCCUGGGGCUGAAGUAGGUCCCAAGGGUAUGGCUGUUCGCCAUUUAAAGUGGUACGCGAGCUGGGUUUAGAACGUCGUGAGACAGUUCGGUCCCUAUCUGCCGUGGGCGCUGGAGAACUGAGGGGGCUGCUCCUAGUACGAGAGGACCGGAGUGGACGCAUCACUGGUGUUCGGGUUGUCAUGCCAAUGGCACUGCCCGGUAGCUAAAUGCGGAAGAGAUAAGUGCUGAAAGCAUCUAAGCACGAAACUUGCCCCGAGAUGAGUUCUCCCUGACUCCUUGAGAGUCCUGAAGGAACGUUGAAGACGACGACGUUGAUAGGCCGGGUGUGUAAGCGCAGCGAUGCGUUGAGCUAACCGGUACUAAUGAACCGUGAGGCUUAACCUU
This 2899-nucleotide ribosomal RNA is filed under the name Escherichia coli. Its description in RNAcentral is "23S ribosomal RNA". It matches the Rfam family "Bacterial large subunit ribosomal RNA". The record is from RNAcentral. Lineage: Bacteria; Pseudomonadati; Pseudomonadota; Gammaproteobacteria; Enterobacterales; Enterobacteriaceae.